This 214-nucleotide ribosomal RNA is filed under the name uncultured bacterium. RNAcentral describes it as "partial 16S ribosomal RNA". It matches the Rfam family "Bacterial small subunit ribosomal RNA", at positions 524 to 735 of the family's 1533-position model. The record is from RNAcentral.
UACGUAGGCAGCAAACGUUGUUCGGAAUUACUGGGCGUAAAGAGUGUGUAGGCGGCUUUGUAAGUUCUGUGUGAAAUCUCCCGGCUCAACUGGGAGGGUGCCGCCGAAUACUGCAAGGCUUGAGUACUGGAGAGGAUAGCGGAAUUCCUGGUGUAGCGGUGAAAUGCGCAGAUAUCAGGAGGAACACCGAGUGGCGAAGGCAGGGCUCUGGGCC